RNAcentral lists this ribosomal RNA (601 nucleotides) under uncultured bacterium. RNAcentral describes it as "bacterial SSU rRNA". It matches the Rfam family "Bacterial small subunit ribosomal RNA", at positions 733 to 1338 of the family's 1533-position model. The record is from RNAcentral.
GCCUCUACUGACGCUAAAGCUCGAAGGUGCGGGUAUCGAACAGGAUUAGAUACCCUGGUAGUCCGCACGGUAAACGAUGGAUGCCCGCUGUUUGCGAUACACUGUGAGCGGCCAAGCGAAAGCGUUAAGCAUCCCACCUGGGGAGUACGCCGGCAACGGUGAAACUCAAAGGAAUUGACGGGGGCCCGCACAAGCGGAGGAACAUGUGGUUUAAUUCGAUGAUACGCGAGGAACCUUACCCGGGCUUGAACUGCCGGCGAACGAUACAGAGAUGUUGAGGCCCUUCGGGGCGCCGGCGGAGGUGCUGCAUGGUUGUCGUCAGCUCGUGCCGUGAGGUGUCGGCUUAAGUGCCAUAACGAGCGCAACCCCUCUCCGUAGUUGCCAUCGGGUGAUGCCGGGCACUCUGCGGACACUGCCACCGUAAGGUGUGAGGAAGGUGGGGAUGACGUCAAAUCAGCACGGCCCUUACGUCCGGGGCUACACACGUGUUACAAUGGGUGGUACAGAGGGCAGGCGUCCGGCAACGUCCGUCUAAUCCCGAAAGCCAUCCUCAGUUCGGACUGGGGUCUGCAACCCGACCCCACGAAGCUGGAUUCGCUAG